ACAUCUGCCUGGUGUGCCUUGUGUGAUGUGGAUAAUGCAACCAGAAUCUGUCAAUAACAACAAAGAUGAUGUCCUAUUAUCGUAUGCAUAUUCUGAUAUGUGUUGGACACGAAAAGAGAAAACUUACCUUCUGGUAAGGAUGGGGAGGCUCGAUAUUGAUGAUAUCCUGAUCCAGCUGCGUUUUAUAUUUCGAUAGAUAGGCUUGUUUAAUGAGCGCAAUAUGACUUGAUUUUCUUCCCACAAAGAUUUCCACCAGAGCCUGAUGAUUAGUAUCAUUAUCUUGCAGAAGAGCUUCACGAGCAACAAUGGCGUCACGUUCAUGAGGAUGAAGCAUCCAAAGGGACAAAGCUGCGCAAGUUUUGGGGGAAACACCAGGCUGAUUUCGAA
This 387-nucleotide long non-coding RNA is filed under the name Gossypium barbadense (sea-island cotton). RNAcentral describes it as "long non-coding RNA (GBAR_LNC022655)". The record is from RNAcentral. Lineage: Eukaryota; Viridiplantae; Streptophyta; Magnoliopsida; Malvales; Malvaceae.